GAAAUGCGAUAAGUAAUGUGAAUUGCAGAAUUCAGUGAAUCAUCGAAUCUUUGAACGCACCUUGCGCUCCUUGGUAUUCCUUGGAGCAUGCCUGUUUGAGUAUCAUGAAAUCUUCAAAGUAAAUCUUUUGUUAACUCAAUUGGUUUCUACUUUGGUAUUGGAGGUCUUUGCAGCUUCACACCUGCUCCUUUUUGUUCAUUAGCUGGAUCUCAGUGUUAUGCUUGGUUCCACUCGGCGUGAUAAGUUAUCUAUCGCUGAGGACACUGUAAAAGGUGGCCAAGGUAAAUGCAGAUGAACCGCUUCUAAUAGUCCAUUGACUUGGACAAUACUUUUAUGAUCUGAUCUCAAAUCAGGUAGGACUACCCGCUGAACUUAAGC
This 378-nucleotide unclassified non-coding RNA is filed under the name plant metagenome. RNAcentral's name for it is "partial contains 5.8S ribosomal RNA, internal transcribed spacer 2, and large subunit ribosomal RNA". The stretch from base 1 to 105 matches the Rfam family "5.8S ribosomal RNA", at positions 50 to 154 of the family's 154-position model. The record is from RNAcentral.